AUAAGGUUGUGGUGAAAAGAUGUUUGAAAUUAGAGACAUUUGUAUCCCUAAUUAUGAACAUUACAAUACAUUUUCACGCCAUUUAGAUAAAUUUGAGGAUACAUGUGAAGGCUCAACAUUAGAGUCAAAUCUUUCUUCGACCAAUUGUGAUUACUCAAAUUGUCACGAACAAAUGUAAGAAAAUAUUAUGCCCCCACAUUGUAUGGGGAAAAAGGAGAUCCCCAACAAAAAGGAAGGAUCUGAUUGUAAAAAAGGUUGCAAACAAGAUAAAGAAAAAACAGAAAUGCAACUAUAAGGAUCCUGUGUAAAUAAAGAAGUGAAUGCAUAUAUGCCAAGCACAAAGAUGUCAUUCUACGGAGAAUUUGAGGUCAUUCCAGAAUCUGAGGCAUAUAAACCAAGCACAAAGAUUUCAUUUGGAUUUGAAUGAUUCCUUGAGAGUGAUUGUUGCAAUCUUCCCAUAUUUUUAGAGGAAAUUGUUGUUGUGGAGUUUUUGUAAGCUUUGUUGUGAUAAUGUUGCAUUUCCAAUUCCAUCAUGUGGCAAUGUAAUUUUCAAAGCGGGGCUGUUUUUGUGGCAAUGUAUUUUUCGAACUA
Long non-coding RNA from Carya illinoinensis, 591 nucleotides. RefSeq lists it as uncharacterized. The transcript has 2 exons. The record is from RefSeq and is a predicted model, not a curated record. NCBI's taxonomy places the organism in Eukaryota, Viridiplantae, Streptophyta, Magnoliopsida, Fagales, Juglandaceae.